Molecule: ribosomal RNA, 870 nt
Filed under: uncultured bacterium
Lineage: Bacteria
Description: bacterial SSU rRNA
Rfam family: Bacterial small subunit ribosomal RNA
Source: RNAcentral
GGGGGGGAAUGCAUGAGGGACGUGCCCUACCACAUGCAAUCGAAUGAAAAGAAUUAAUUAUUGUUUUCAUGGGGACCGGGUGAGUAACACAUAAGAAUCAGCUUUUAGAUAAGGCAUAAAAGAGUAAUAUCUUGGUAAUUCCUUAUAUGCGCAGCAGUGCUUAAAAAGGGGAGUCCCGUCUAAAAACGAGCUUAUGCCUGAUUAGCUAGUUGGCGAGUUAAAAGCUCACCAAGGCGAAGAUCAGUAGCUGGCCUGAGAGGGCGGCCAGCCACAUUGGGACUGAGACACGGCCCAAACUCCUACGAGAGGCAGCAGUGGGGAAUCUUCUGCAAUGGGCGCAAGCCUGACAGAGCGGCGUCGUGUGAAGGAAGAAGGCCUGAAAUAGGUUGUAAACUUCUUUUACUGAAUAAUGAAUAAUGACAACGCAAUAAAAAAGUAUCGGCUAACUCCGUGCCAGCAGCCGCGGUAAUACGGGGGAUGCAAGCGUUAUCCGGAAUCACUGGGCGUAAAGCGUCUGUAGGUGGUUUAGUGUGUUCUUAGUUAAAUUCUGAAGCCUAACUUCAUGAAAAGUAAGAAAACUAUUAGACUUGAGUACGAUAGGGGUAAGAGGAAUUCUUCGAGAAGUAGUGAAAUGCGAAGAUACGAAGGAGAAGAUCAUAAGCGAAGGCUUCUUACUGGGUCGUAACUGACACUGAGAGACGAAAGCUAGGGGAGCGAAUGGGAUUAGAUACCCCAGUAGUCCUAGCUGUAACGAUGGAUAUUCGGUGCCGGAAAUUUUAUUAGAACAUUUCGGUACCCUAGCUAACGCGUUAAAUAUCCCGCCUGAGGAGUACGCUCGCAAGGAGAACUCAAAUGAAUUGACAGAAGGGC